This 240-nucleotide ribosomal RNA is filed under the name uncultured Paraglomus. RNAcentral describes it as "partial small subunit ribosomal RNA". The stretch from base 49 to 240 matches the Rfam family "Eukaryotic small subunit ribosomal RNA", at positions 694 to 887 of the family's 1831-position model. Lineage: Eukaryota; Fungi; Glomeromycota; Glomeromycetes; Paraglomerales; Paraglomeraceae. The record is from RNAcentral.
GAUCUGGUUGGGUGGUCCGCCUGACGGCGUGUUUACUGCUUGACCGGGUCUUGCCUCUUGGUGAACCGUUGUGUUCUUUAUUGAAUGCUUCGGGGAACCAGGACUUUUACCUUGAGAAAAUUAGAGUGUUCAAAGCAGGCCUAUGCCUGAAUACAUUAGCAUGGAAUAAUAAAAUAGGACGUGUGGUUCUAUUUUGUUGGUUUUUAGAGCUGCCGUAAUGAUUAAUAGGGAUAAGUUGGG